This is a long non-coding RNA of Malurus melanocephalus (red-backed fairy wren), 591 nucleotides long. RefSeq lists it as uncharacterized. The record is from RefSeq and is a predicted model, not a curated record. Lineage: Eukaryota; Metazoa; Chordata; Aves; Passeriformes; Maluridae. The transcript has 4 exons.
GAAUGGCUGUGAAGCCUUUGUUGGGUGAGUGCAGCAGAGCAGAACAGAAGCCAAGCUGAGCGGAGCCUCGCUGUGCCCGUGGCAAGAACAGGCAAGGCACAGUCCACGUCAAGGGAGGAAAAGUCAACUCAAUUUUGCCUUUCAAGUGCUGAAGAUGUUUUGAAGGACGAAGAACGAGCAAUGGGUCAAGAAUGUGAAGGGUCAGAACUCAUCAUUGGUCCCCAUUAUGAAAGAGAACCACCAUUUGGGAAGGUGAAACUUUCUCCACCAGUUAAAGAGAGGAAGGAGUAGCACUGGAGCAGCCUGGAUACAUCAGCAAGCAAUCAAAAGUAAAAUUAGGAAAAUAAAAAUGACAGCUAUGCCUCCAUGAAUCCUCUGUUAAAUGUAACCAACAACUGGGCUACCACUACUCAGGCAUAUCAUAUGAAGCUGAUUACAGACACCUAGAGCCUAAAAUGACAAUUACAAUUGUUUUCCUUUAAAAUUGUUAGAAAAGCCUGAUAAUAUCCUCACUGUUUUUUGAUAAUGUGCUCAGUGUUUUCAACAUGUAAUAUUGGUAAAAUCUGCASAUGAAUAAAAUACAUUUUUAAA